UUAAAAAUAACAAAUUUAAAAACACCAACCACCCAAACUAUAGACUUCUCACAGCAAGUCUGACACCACAAGGCUCCUGAACAGCUUCUACCCCCAUGCCAUAAGACUGCUGAAUUGCUAACUAAAUAGCUCCACGGACUGAGUUGACCUUUGUAUUUUAUUCUUGCACUGUCUCUAUGCACACUCACAGGGCCCCAACACACUGAGACUCUAACACAAAACACUCACUCCAGUAUCUGCUCACACACACACAUAUUUACACUGGCUCUACACACACCCACUCAUGUGUAAUCAUCAUAUACGCUACUGAACCAAAAUGGCGCCGAAGACCAUGGCUCACGUUUUACAAUCUCCCAACCAAAUUGUGCAGUUUUUUUUGCAGAACUUGGUGUACAUAAUGUUGCUGCUACCGUCUGUUAUGACCGAAAAUAACUUCUGGAUAUCAGAAAAGCGAUUACUCAAUCGCAGACUGGAAGAAACCUUUUCCUUUAACAAGUCUGACGAGAAGGAUAUCCUGCUUUCACCGGGAAACAGGCCCAGAUCCACGCCUUUUGCGUGAAGAAAAGACGCCAGAAAAGAAUCUGAGUAUCCGGAGGUGACAUCCUGCUAGAGCCGGAGGCCCCAACCAUGCAGUCACUGACAGACAGACAGACACUGGUCAGAGCUGGUCUAAGUCUCUGUUCACUUCCUAGCCCCCCCCCACCUGCUGUGCUCAGAGACUGUGGAUGGUGAACCCAGUGAACCCAGCAGCAACCAGACCAGACCUACCUUACCCCACGCCAAGAAACAAUCCCAUCACACUCAGUUACCCUGGGCUUGCAUCUCCCUCUUGCAAGUCCGCACUGUGCAGCUAAGGAGGGCACAUUGGACUUUUCAGUGGAGGUCAAUGAUCACUCUUGCUCAAAGACAUUUACAGCAUCAAAAACAAUUUCCAUGUGAUUAUUAUGCAAUUUAUUUAAUGACUCUGAGUAGCAUUUCUGAGCAGCAAUUUUUUUAAUAGAUUUUGCUAGUAUGGCAGUUAUUCUGCUUACACAAGUGCUGUUAUUCACUGACUGAGCCCAGGAUGAAAACAGGACGAAAUGUGUGUCCUUUUCACAUGGCGAGUCUGUCCGUCUGUCCACCCUCUAGGCUCUUGCCUGGCAGUAAGCAGCAACAUUAAGAGUAGCUAGCUGCACACAGUCUCUUAACAGGGUGCCAAACGGUUCUAGUUAAUGGAAGAGAGUGGCUAGGACCUGAAUUGAGCAAAUACACUAAAAAACAUCACAUUUUAGACCAUUAGCUGAGGGUUUGGCUACUUAUUAACCGAAGUCAACGGAAAGUAACUACUAAAUGGCAAAGCAGAGAAUCCAAUAUCGCCACAGAUGAAUUCUCUUGAUUCGUCAAACAAAAAGCCACUCAUAAUAUAUUCUAGGCCUAGCAACAUGGAAACUAGCAAGGUAGCCAUGGCAUGAGCUCUCUUUUCAGUACAGGCUUCCCCUGACACUAAACAGCCUAGAGCUGGAGAAGAGACCUCAACCACACCUAUAGGACUCUAUUCUCAGCACUUACGACCUAGAGAUCCUUUACUCCUAACCGUAUGAGUAAGAAUAAAAGCUAUGCAUGAAGCCCCAUAAUAGUCCCACUUAGUUGACAUAUUUCGGACACCCUCAUGGAGCGGUCCUAACCAGUUACCAGCAGGUGUCUUGAUAACAGAAAAACGCAGCGAGUCAGUGGUUCCUGCCACACAUGCAAUUGCAUUGGAGUUGUUCAAAUAAUGUUUUGAUAUUUCUUCAUGAUCAAAACAUGAAUAAUCUAGGACUUACAUGUAACAGUGUCUCUUGCCAUUUUGACAACGAUAUGCCUGAAUACUUUUAACCACUAGGCUGAUAAACCCAUUUUGUUUCUUUGAUUGUGUUAGAUGAAAGUGAUACCUUUCAAACGGUGUACAGUAUUGCAAUAAAGGCAAGUGACUUGA
Molecule: long non-coding RNA, 1954 nt
Organism: Oncorhynchus tshawytscha (Chinook salmon)
Lineage: Eukaryota; Metazoa; Chordata; Actinopteri; Salmoniformes; Salmonidae
Exons: 2
Source: RefSeq, a predicted model, not a curated record